Molecule: ribosomal RNA, 55 nt
Filed under: Escherichia coli
Lineage: Bacteria; Pseudomonadati; Pseudomonadota; Gammaproteobacteria; Enterobacterales; Enterobacteriaceae
Also listed under: 2 other names
Description: partial 23S ribosomal RNA
Source: RNAcentral
CGUUGAGCUAACCGGUACUAAUGAACCGUGAGGCUUAACCUUACAACGCCGAAGC